RNAcentral lists this transfer RNA (72 nucleotides) under Schistosoma japonicum. RNAcentral describes it as "tRNA-OTHER". Lineage: Eukaryota; Metazoa; Platyhelminthes; Trematoda; Strigeidida; Schistosomatidae. The record is from RNAcentral.
GGCUCAGUGGUCCAAUGGUAAAGCGCUCGUCACGGAGCCAGAGGGUUUCGGGUUCGAUCCCCAACAGUGUCA